CAGAGUAAAAGAAUACGCGUUAAGUGUUUGCUGUACGGGGAGUUGACAGCAGGACGAAGGGCAGGCGCGCCUGCAUUUUCUGUUAUCGCCUUUGUCAAGUUUGAAUCUUUGACAGAGUAAGAAAGAGGCGCAUGCGUCCCGCGGUGUAUUCUUUGCAUCCCGCUGU
RNAcentral lists this non-coding RNA (166 nucleotides) under uncultured Ruminococcus sp. Its description in RNAcentral is "THF riboswitch". It matches the Rfam family "THF (Tetrahydrofolate) riboswitch aptamer". From Rfam's summary of the family: THF riboswitch presents a pseudoknot that joins P1-P2 and the loop of P3 and two THF binding. Lineage: Bacteria; Bacillati; Bacillota; Clostridia; Eubacteriales; Oscillospiraceae. The record is from RNAcentral.